RNAcentral lists this ribosomal RNA (253 nucleotides) under uncultured bacterium. Its description in RNAcentral is "partial 16S ribosomal RNA". It matches the Rfam family "Bacterial small subunit ribosomal RNA", at positions 524 to 776 of the family's 1533-position model. The record is from RNAcentral.
UACGUAGGGGGCGAGCGUUGUCCGGAUUUACUGGGCGUAAAGGGCGUGUAGGCGGUUGGAUAAGUCUGGUGUGAAAUCUCAUGGCUCAACCACGAGACUGCGCUGGAAACUGUCUGACUGGAGUUCGGCAGGGGUUACUGGAAUCCCCGGUGUAACGGUGAAAUGUGUAGAUAUCGGGGGGAACACCUGUGGCGAAGGCGGGUAACUGGGCCGCAACUGACGCUGAUACGCGAAAGCGUGGGGAGCAAACAGG